AGGUAUUAUACUGUAAGCUGCUGAAAAAGUCUCCCUUUCAAUUUCUUUUUGUAACUUUCUAUUUUUAGGUUUGAGCAACAUGGCCUUGUUGCAUCUUACGAAAUCCAACAUAUAGUCUUUGAGCACAAAGGUUCUUAUAUGAAAAAUCAGGGCUCCCAAUUUCCGCUUGCCCACUAGCCAUUGACAAAACAAAACCCAGCCCUGGGGAUUAGAAAUUCACCCUUGGUGAUGGCAUCAUGGACCCUCCAGGCUUUCAGUAAUAGCCACUAGGUUGACCAGGUUAGUAGCAAAGGACGUGAAAUGUGAGCCCUAUAAAACAAUAUUGUAC
Non-coding RNA from Pelobates cultripes (western spadefoot toad), 328 nucleotides. The record is from the annotation of a GenBank genome assembly. Lineage: Eukaryota; Metazoa; Chordata; Amphibia; Anura; Pelobatidae.